This 514-nucleotide ribosomal RNA is filed under the name uncultured bacterium. RNAcentral describes it as "partial 16S ribosomal RNA". It matches the Rfam family "Bacterial small subunit ribosomal RNA", at positions 28 to 523 of the family's 1533-position model. The record is from RNAcentral.
GAUGAACGCUGGCGGCGUGCCUAAUACAUGCAAGUCGAGCGAACAGAUGAGAAGCUUGCUUCUCUGAUGUUAGCGGCGGACGGGUGGGUAACACGUGGGUAACCUACCUAUAAGACUGGGAUAACUCCGGGAAACCGGGGCUAAUACCGGAUAAUAUUUUGAACCGCAUGGUUCAAUAGUGAAAGACGGUUUCGGCUGUCAAUUACAGAUGGACACGCGCCGUAUUAGCUAGUUGGUAAGGUAACGGCUUACCAAGGCGACGAUACGUAGCCGACCUGAGAGGGUGAUCGGCCACACUGGAACUGAGACACGGUCCAGACUCCUACGGGAGGCAGCAGUAGGGAAUCUUCCGCAAUGGGCGAAAGCCUGACGGAGCAACGCCGCGUGAGUGAUGAAGGUCUUCGGAUCGUAAAACUCUGUUGUUAGGGAAGAACAAAUUUGUUAGUAACUGAACAAGUCUUGACGGUACCUAACCAGAAAGCCACGGCUAACUACGUGCCAGCAGCCGCAGUAA